RNAcentral lists this long non-coding RNA (326 nucleotides) under Brassica napus (rape). RNAcentral describes it as "long non-coding RNA (BNAP_LNC015524)". The record is from RNAcentral. Lineage: Eukaryota; Viridiplantae; Streptophyta; Magnoliopsida; Brassicales; Brassicaceae.
UGCAAAUCAAAUAAUCUCAGUACACAGAUUGAGAGAGUCAAUCACAUCGUCCCACCAUUCCAUCCGAUUGAGAGAUUCAAUCAAAACCUCCUCCGCAAAUCCACUUCAAUCCAUCUUUUGAUCAAGUUGAGAGUGAUACACAUCCAGCAGCUUGAUUCCGCCAUAUCUAUCAUUUUUCUUUGUUUAUUUAUCUUAUUUUAUUCUUCAUAGCAUUCGUAUCUCAUUCAUCUUUCAUUUUUUUCAGGUUUUACAAUCGAUUUCAGACCAUAUCGACCAACCGGUCUCAUCUUUGGUUGAUCCGAUUUGAACCUCCAACAACCAUUUGG